This 120-nucleotide ribosomal RNA is filed under the name Triticum aestivum (bread wheat). RNAcentral's name for it is "partial small subunit ribosomal RNA". The record is from RNAcentral. Lineage: Eukaryota; Viridiplantae; Streptophyta; Magnoliopsida; Poales; Poaceae.
CAUUUGGAAUUACACAAAAAAGUUUUUUCAUUGGAAAGAGGUCUACGGAGACUUUUGGGAAAACAUUGACGUUUGCUGGCUUAUUUGGCAAAGAAAUAUGGGUACCUUAUAAGAAAUUAA